This 467-nucleotide ribosomal RNA is filed under the name unidentified nematode Sourhope farm. RNAcentral describes it as "SSU rRNA". It matches the Rfam family "Eukaryotic small subunit ribosomal RNA", at positions 59 to 530 of the family's 1831-position model. The record is from RNAcentral. Lineage: Eukaryota; Metazoa; Nematoda.
CUAAGCAGAGCCCUUGAAUGGUAAAGCCGCGAAUGGCUCAUUACAACAGCCACAGUUUAUUGGGUCUCCAUUUACUUGGAUAACUGAGCUAAUUGUUGAGCUAAUACACGCACCAAAGCUUCGACCUCACGGGAGGAGCGCAUUUAUUAGAACAAAACCAAUCGGACUUCGGUCCGUCCAUUGGUGAAUCUAAAUAACUUAGCCGAUCGCAUGGUCUCGCACCGGCGACUCACCUUUCAAAUGUCUGCCUUAUCACCUUUCGAUGGUAGUUUAUACGCCUACCAUGGGUUUUACGGGUAACGGAGAAUAAGGGUUCGACUCCGGAGAGGGAGCCUGAGAAACGGCUACCACAUCCAAGGAAGGCAGCAGGCACGCAAAUUACCCACUCCCGGCACGGGGAGGUAGUGACGAAAAAUAACGAGGCGGUUCUCUAUGAGGCCCGCCAUCGGAAUGGGUACAAUCUAAAU